Long non-coding RNA from Alnus glutinosa, 827 nucleotides. RefSeq lists it as uncharacterized. The record is from RefSeq and is a predicted model, not a curated record. Lineage: Eukaryota; Viridiplantae; Streptophyta; Magnoliopsida; Fagales; Betulaceae. The transcript has 3 exons.
CUUCUUUCUUGUUUUUCCCUUCUUCUUUCCUUUCUUUCUUCUUCUUUCUUGUUCUUCAUUUCCUCUUCUCACCCGAGUACACAGAGAGAGUGAGAGAUGAGAUUGAGAGGGAGACAGAGAAAGAGAGACCGAGCAAGAGAUCGAGAGAGAGAGAGAAUAUGAGAUUGAGAGGGAGAGCUGGAGCUGGAGACCCGGGAAAGAACCAAAGAAGACCCGAACGAAAUCCAUAAACCCGAAAGCCAGAGAAUGGGCAGGGACCCCAAUUCCGUGAUUUCCGGCGACCUGUGAUAAGGAUUUCGGUGGGUUCGAUGGAGGGACGAUUUCCUGUGAGCCCUGGAAUCGACGAACCGAAAGGCUAAGAAGAGAGGAUUCAACGGAUCCGUGAGCUGAACCCAUUAGACCCUGGAGGAGCUCCGAUCAUGAAACCCAGAAAUCCGACAAACCCAUGAGACCCGACUCUUCAUGUAUCAAUGCCGAUGGAGCUGGAGAUACAAUUUCUGGCGUAAUCAAGGGUGAUUUCCAGUAGAUUUCUCUAUGUUUGAGCAGGGAUCCUCUAGAUGAUGAACUGAGAUUGCACAAAAGGGUUGUAAAUAUAAAAUACUUACUGAGAUGAUUGUGCAGGAACCGAGACUGAUGAGUACCGGGAUUAUCAGGAUCCUUGUGAUGAUUUUGAUUACAUAGACGAGACUACCUAGUGUCUCCCAUUUUGUGGUGGGCUUACUGAAUAGUCUAUCUUUUAUGAUAAUGUUAUGACUUAUUUUAUGCAUUCCCUAAACGACUUGUGUUUUAUUUCAUAGUUUGUAUAAUGACAAUAAUUAUGUAGAAUU